AGAUUGAACGCUGGCGGCAUGCCUUACACAUGCAAGUCGAACGGCAGCACGGGAGCAAUCCUGGUGGCGAGUGGCGAGCGGGUGAGGUAAUACGAUCGGAACGUGCCCAGUUGUGGGGGAUAGCCCGGCGAAAGCCGGAUUAAUACCGCAUACGACCUACGGGUGAAAGCGGGGGAUCGCAAGACCUCGCGCUAUUGGAGCGGCCGAUGUCGGAUUAGCUUGUUGGUAGGUAAAAGCCUACCAAGGCUACGAUCCGUAGCUGGUCUGAGAGGACGACCAGCCACACUGGGACUGAGACACGGCCCAGACUCCUACGGGAGGCGCAGUGGGAAGUUUGGUACGAAUAGGCGAAAGACCGUAGAUCCAGCCAUGCCGCGUGCGGGAAGGAAGGACCGUUCGGGUUACGGUUAACCGUACGUUUUACGUUCGUAGGUAA
RNAcentral lists this ribosomal RNA (436 nucleotides) under uncultured soil bacterium. RNAcentral's name for it is "bacterial SSU rRNA". It matches the Rfam family "Bacterial small subunit ribosomal RNA", at positions 26 to 475 of the family's 1533-position model. The record is from RNAcentral.